UCGAGAAUUUUUCACAAUGGGGGAAACCCUGAUGGAGCGACGCCGCGUGGAGGACGAAGGUCUUCGGAUUGUAAACUCCUGUCAUGCGAGAACAAGAAAGUGAUAGUAUCGCAAGAGGAAGAGACGGCUAACUCUGUG
This 138-nucleotide ribosomal RNA is filed under the name uncultured Verrucomicrobium sp. Its description in RNAcentral is "partial 16S ribosomal RNA". It matches the Rfam family "Bacterial small subunit ribosomal RNA", at positions 355 to 507 of the family's 1533-position model. Lineage: Bacteria; Pseudomonadati; Verrucomicrobiota; Verrucomicrobiia; Verrucomicrobiales; Verrucomicrobiaceae. The record is from RNAcentral.